Molecule: long non-coding RNA, 762 nt
Filed under: Marmota monax (woodchuck)
Lineage: Eukaryota; Metazoa; Chordata; Mammalia; Rodentia; Sciuridae
Source: RNAcentral
ACAGGGCUGCGCUCCACACCUGUGCCACCUUGCUCCUUUGCGUCCCACCCUGAGCGCCACUGGGUGACAAGUGACAGCUGCCCUCUGCACUGCGGGUUCUCACCGUGGAUUCCAGCCGCCUCGGGUGGAAACGUCUGGGGGAAGAAUCGGCCCUGCGCCUGCUCGUGCAGCCCUGUUGUCCUGCCCAGCCACCAGCCUGACCGCCGUGGGCCAGCCCUGGCCCUGCCUUAGGCGCGACUCCCCAGGGACCGUGUGCAGGACAGCGGGGCGGUGGGCGUCCAUGUGGACACCACCCACUGUGUCCAUGAGGCACCUGGCAUCCCUGGACUAUGGCACCCAACCCCCUGUGGACGCCAAGGGCCCACUGUACACCCAAGUCCACGUCCCUGUCACCACCUUCACAGCCACCAGCACAGUGCAGAUGCCACAGUCCUCACCUGCCUGGGCCCAUGACAACUGGCUCUUCCUGCCUGUGUCCUGGCCUCCCGCUGUGCACCGCUGCGGCCACAUGGCUGGAGAAGACAUCUUAGAAGACAAACGGAGCCGCGCGCCGUGGCCCUGGUGACCGCGCGGCUCAGGAGGCUGAGGCAGGAGGAUCUUGAGUUCAAAGCCAGCCUCAGCAAAAGCAAGGCCCUCAGCAACUCAGUGAGACCCUGUCUCUAAGUAAAAUGCAAAAUAGGGCUGGGAUGUGGCGCAGUGGUCCAUUGUCCCUGAGUUCAACCCCUGGUGCCAAAACAAACAAACAAACAGAACCCAAGUAGG